GGAGUGUAACUCAGUGGUAGAGUGCUUGCCUAGCAUGUAUAAGGCCUUGGGUUCUAUCCCCAGUGCCA
Molecule: transfer RNA, 68 nt
Filed under: Marmota monax (woodchuck)
Lineage: Eukaryota; Metazoa; Chordata; Mammalia; Rodentia; Sciuridae
Description: tRNA.Ala
Source: RNAcentral